UAUAAUGGAUUCAUCCUCUAGAAGCUCUAAUGACCGGGAAGUUGCUGGUGCUCUUGCUACUCUAGUGUGAUGGAAUCAAUAAACAAUUUUACUUUAAAAA
Oncorhynchus tshawytscha (Chinook salmon) is the source of this 100-nucleotide long non-coding RNA. RefSeq lists it as uncharacterized. NCBI's taxonomy places the organism in Eukaryota, Metazoa, Chordata, Actinopteri, Salmoniformes, Salmonidae. The record is from RefSeq and is a predicted model, not a curated record. The transcript is spliced from 2 exons.